CUCCUUAGGACAACAUCUUCUGAUGGAGCUGCUAUUUUGAGGGUUCUGCAGGCAUUAAGCUCUCUUGUUGCCUCACUAGUUGAGAAAGAGAAGGACCAGAAAAUUCUUGCAGAGAAAGAGCAAAGUGCUGCUCUUUCUCAGUUGUGCAACAUCAAUGGAGCUUUAGAGCCUUUGUGGCUGGAGCUGAGCACUUGCAUAAGCAAAAUAGAGAGCUACUCAGAUUCUGUACCUGAUUUGCUACUUCCAAGAACUUCCACAUCAAAACCAUCUGGUGUAACAACCCCACUCCCUGCAGGUUCUCAGAACAUCUUACCAUAUAUCGAGUCCUUCUUUGUGAUGUGCGAAAAGUUGCAGCCUGCACAGCCAGGUUCCAGUCAUGACUAUGGUGCUGUUUCUGAAGUUGAAGAUGCGAGCACAUCUACUGCCCAUCAGAAAACCUCUGUCCCUGUUUUGAAAGUUGAUGAGAAACACAUUGCAUUUGUGAAAUUUUCUGAGAAACAUAGAAAGCUCCUUAAUGCUUUCAUCCGCCAAAAUCCUGGGUUGCUUGAGAAGUCCUUCUCACUCAUGCUGAAGGUUCCCCG
This 581-nucleotide unclassified non-coding RNA is filed under the name Hevea brasiliensis (rubber tree). Lineage: Eukaryota; Viridiplantae; Streptophyta; Magnoliopsida; Malpighiales; Euphorbiaceae. The record is from RNAcentral.